Molecule: long non-coding RNA, 159 nt
Filed under: Gadus morhua (Atlantic cod)
Lineage: Eukaryota; Metazoa; Chordata; Actinopteri; Gadiformes; Gadidae
Description: lncRNA (ENSGMOG00000033840.1)
Source: RNAcentral
GACCUCAUCAUUGCGGAAAACUCAGAGAGCUCUUUGAUCGCAUAACAGAUCAGGACUGCGAGCUCAGAGAACGGAUUCAGCAGGUUCAACAGGUAAGCAGGUCACACCUCCAAAUGCAUGACAUAUAUUUUAUUUGAAUGUUUUGCAAAUUAAGAAAUU